Molecule: non-coding RNA, 1257 nt
Organism: Monodelphis domestica (gray short-tailed opossum)
Lineage: Eukaryota; Metazoa; Chordata; Mammalia; Didelphimorphia; Didelphidae
Source: RefSeq, a predicted model, not a curated record
GGAGAAGAAGGAAGCAGAAUGGGAAGAUGGAGGAAGAGAAAGCACGGCUCCGAAUGAUUUUCUCUUUCUCUGACUGCUAAAUCAGAAAUCCAGAUAUGGACAAAGUCCCUUGUGUGCCUGAGUGAAGUGGCACUGAGAUGUCUCAAAAAGCUAAAAAGGGAUAUCAGUGAGCCAUGAUAUCAUAAUGCCAAAGCUCACUGAUGACUCAUGGAGUGUUGCCAUCCUGGUGGGGUGAGUAAGAGCUUGGAAAGCAAUUUCAAAAGCCCCAGUGUUCAGCUCUAACUCCAUCCAGGGACACCUCAAUCUUCUUCCCUAAUGACUUGGUUAGCAUUCCUUAAUUGAAGAAAGUCUACUCUCCUGUGCCUGGCUGCCCCUUCACCAAGAUCCCUUCUGGUCCAGGCUCCCCUUCCAUGGCCACGGUCCUCUAGAUGGCCUCCAUGCCAUGAUGCAAGCCAGCAAAUAGUGGGAACCAGAAGGCUUCUGGCAGGGGUGGGAGUCCAGUAGCUGUUCUGUCUUCAGCUAUAACCCAAAAAGCCAGAGGGGCUGAGAGACUUGGCUUUACUCACUCAGGUCUGUCACAUGGGGCAGACUUUUCAGACAAAAAACAUGAUGCAAACACAGAGCAGCGACUGUACUAGUUCUGGACGCACAGUAACAGGAUGGGACACGGCGGGCAGUGAGGGGGCAGGGUGAGAGCACUUAUCACAACAGGACAGGAUGGGACACCACAUGUUGGGGCAGUGAAUGGCUUUGGAAGCCUCUUCGAGGCAGAAGGGUGGGGGUGGACAGGAGAGAGGCCUAACUUUCCUCCCUCCCUCACUGUUAUGUAUGCAGAAAGGAGGAUCUGGAGGCUGAGGUGGAGCAGGAAUCAGGAAACUCAGGCCCUCUGCCUAGAUGAGCACAGGGUGUAAAGAUAAGAAGUUUGCUGAAUUGUCCUUAAGUGGAUGCCUCUUAGGGACAGGAGGAAAAGAGACAGGAAGAGGAAGUCUUUCUCCCUGAUGUCCCAAAUCUAUACACAACCCAACUAGAGAACUUGGCUUUGGCCACCAAUUCAACUUUGGGCCACCUCAACAUCAGGCCUUUUCCAGGGAGGCCGUGCACCCAGCUCAACAACCAAGGACGAUGGCCAUGCAUCCAAAGUCAGUAACCCCUACUUGAGUGGGUAUUCCAACAUAGCCAAAUCUCAGUGUCCCAAGUGAACAUUGAGAAGUGACAGCAGAGAAAAUAUAUUAUCAUCUAGAGUCAUCUCUAAUUGAA